Molecule: small nuclear RNA, 104 nt
Organism: Sciurus vulgaris (Eurasian red squirrel)
Lineage: Eukaryota; Metazoa; Chordata; Mammalia; Rodentia; Sciuridae
Source: Ensembl
GUGCUAACUUCAGUAGCACAUAUACUAAAGUUGGAACAAGACAGGAUCAGCAUGGCCCCCAUGCAAGGAUGAUAUGCAUCUACAUACCAUUCUUGCAUGAAUUU